This 200-nucleotide long non-coding RNA is filed under the name Selaginella moellendorffii. Its description in RNAcentral is "long non-coding RNA (SMOE_LNC000949)". Lineage: Eukaryota; Viridiplantae; Streptophyta; Lycopodiopsida; Selaginellales; Selaginellaceae. The record is from RNAcentral.
UUUUGGUUGCGAUCUUGGUGCUGCUCGCGUGCUUUUUGCUUGUGCGAUGGAUGUUAUCUCGAAGGGAGCAGUGCAGUAAUGUGAUCUUUCAGGAUCCCGGGUGGCAGAUUGAAGUUGUGGUGGACGAUCCUCCGACUGAGAAGAAACAGCUGGAAGCUCACACUCGUGGUUUGCACAGCAAUGGCACUCUAGGAUUCUCC